RNAcentral lists this transfer RNA (62 nucleotides) under Ruidocollaris sinensis. Its description in RNAcentral is "tRNA-Cys". Lineage: Eukaryota; Metazoa; Arthropoda; Insecta; Orthoptera; Tettigoniidae. The record is from RNAcentral.
UGUCUUAUAGUCAUGAAUGAUACUAAAAUGCAAAUUUAGAGGAGUAAAUUUUACUAAGACUU